GACGAACGCUGGCGGCGUGCUUAACACAUGCAAGUCGAACGGAAAGGCCCUGCUUUUGUGGGGUGCUCGAGUGGCGAACGGGUGAGUAACACGUGAGUAACCUGCCCUUGACUUUGGGAUAACUUCAUGCAACUGGGUCUAAUACCGGAUAGGAGCUCCUGCUGCAUGGUGGGGGUUGGAAGGUUUCGGCGGUUGGGGAUGGACUCGCGGCUUAUCAGCUUGUUGGUGGGGUAGUGGCUUACCAAGGCUUUGACGGGUAGCCGGCCUGAGAGGGUGACCUGCCACAUUGGGACGGAGAUACGGCACAGACUAGUCUGGGAGGCAGCAGUGGGGAAUAGUGUACAAUGGGCGGAAGCCUGAUGCAGCAACGCCGCGUGGGGGAUGACGGCCUUCGGGUUGUAAUCCGCUUUCGCCUGUGACGAAGCGAGAGUGACGGUAAUGGGUAAAGAAGCUCCGGCUAACUACGUG
RNAcentral lists this ribosomal RNA (468 nucleotides) under uncultured bacterium. Its description in RNAcentral is "partial 16S ribosomal RNA". It matches the Rfam family "Bacterial small subunit ribosomal RNA", at positions 28 to 507 of the family's 1533-position model. The record is from RNAcentral.